This 4924-nucleotide long non-coding RNA is filed under the name Gossypium barbadense (sea-island cotton). RNAcentral's name for it is "long non-coding RNA (GBAR_LNC000181)". The record is from RNAcentral. Lineage: Eukaryota; Viridiplantae; Streptophyta; Magnoliopsida; Malvales; Malvaceae.
AAGAAAGAGUAAAGACAGAGGAUGACUUACCUUAUUCAAUAGCGCUCAAAGCUGAAUCUUCUAUCAAAGGAAAAAAAAGCAUUUGGCUCGGGUCCCUGAAAAAGAAAACAAUGAUACAGUGUAACUAUACAGGCAUGGAAGAACCAGAUAGUAACAGUAAGUGCAGUACAGAUUUAUUGAUGCCGAAGACACAGAUAGAUAUGAAGAUGGAAAAAGUUUCAAAAAAAGACCCAAAUAUUCUGGAAGCAAGUGAUGGGGAGGAAAAUAACAAAUUUAAUGAUGGUAUUGAUAGUCUUGGAAAGCGUAUGACCACUGUGGAGGAAAAGUUACAGAAAAACCAAAGUAGCAUGGCAGAAAAUCAGAGAGAUGAAAUGAAGAUUAAAAAUUAUGAAGAAUGGUACGCAACACAACAACCGAGAUAUCACAGAAGCAGAUGGCGUUUAUUGGACAGGAAGGAGAACUUUGAUGUAAAUAUGUCAGAAAGGAUCUUGGGUAAAAGCAAGUUUAAUCACGAAGGCCUAGUUGAGAAUGUGACAUACCCCACUAAUGAAAGUCCGGUUAAAAAAGCAAAGGCAAAUAAGGAUAGGGAGGAUGGUUAUGCCAAUUUUGAUUGUAAGCAGACUGUUUCCCACGUUAGUUCAGAACUGACAAAAGUUAUAUCAGAGGCUGCCAAUGGGCAAGCCGACCGGAAGCCAUGAAACUCCUAAGCUGGAAUGUCUGGGGACUGGGGAAUCCCCGGGCUAUUAGGAGAUUUCAACACACGUUGAAACUCUACAAACCCCAACUGGUCGUCAUAAUGGAGACAAAAUUAGAUCAUAGAUGCAUGGAACGAGUCAAGAGAAAAUGUGGUUUUCAAAACGGGAUAGACAUAUCAGCAACGGGUACACGUGGUGGAAUUUGCCUUGCAUGGAAUGAAAAUCACUUGGUUAAUGUUCUUAGUUAUUCAGAAUCUCAUGUUGAUGUUGAAGUCACUGAUGAAAAUAACUCAAACAAAUGGAGGUUCACUGGAUUUUAUAGGAAUCCACGAGUCUCAGAUAGGCAGGAAUCUUGGAAUCUUCUUCGAAGGCUACGAGAAACAAAUUCAGGAGCAUGGUGUGUAUGUGGUGAUUUCAAUGAGAUUAUGUAUGCCCAUGAAAAAACAGGAGGCGCAACAAGAAAUGAAAGGCAGGUGGAGGCUUUUCAAAAGGUCUUGACAAAUUGUGAAUUAGUCGAUUUGGGUUAUACGGGCUAGAAGGAUACAUGGGAGAGGGGCAACUUUCAGAACACAAAUAUUCGAGAACGGCUAGACCGGGGAGUGGCAAAUAAUGCUUGGCUCAACUUGUUUAGUAAUUACGAGGUACAAAAUCUUCCGCAUUCAUUCUCUGACCACUGUCCAAUUCUAAUCAAAACAGAGAUGAAUAGUGCACAUGAUGGGAAAAACCGCUUUAAGUUUGAGUCUUGGUGGCUUAUGGAACCAAAUUGUGCUGAUGUUAUUAGGAAACUAUGGGAUGAGAAAUCAGGUGACGCUCUUGCUAAAUUGGAAAAUCUUCGAGCUGGCCUACAAAAAUGGGGACGAAGUAUCAAGUACACAUAAGAUAGGAAAAGGAAGAACCUUCGAGAUCGAUUGGUUCAACUUGAUAAUAUGGAUCGGGACGAUGAUGUGAUAGCAGAAAUCAUUGAUAUAAAGUUGGAGCUUAAUUAGGAAAUGGAAAAGGAGGAAUUAUAUUGGGAACAACGGGCCAGAGCCAAUUGGUUGCUUAAGGGUGAUAAAAACACUGUUUUUUCAUAGUAAAGCCACGCAAAGACAGAGGAUGAAUCGUAUCCAGGGAUUGGAAGACAAGAAUAGAAUCUUUAAGACAGAAAGAGAGGAUAUGGAGACCAUCGUUAAAGAUUAAUUUAUGGAGCUCUUUAAAUCAAAAAGGGUUGGCAACACAAACCAUCUUCUAUCAGGGGUUAAAAAAUGUAUCAAUGAGGAUAUGAACCAAAUAUUAGCAGCAAAUUAUAAGGAGGAAAAGAUAGUUGAAGCGCUUAAGAGCAUAGGGCCGACAAAAGCUUCUAGGCCUGAUGGCUUCCCAGCUAUUUUCUUUCAGAAAUUUUGGUUUAAUGUAGGCAAAGAGAUUUGUGAGUUUUGCUUACAAGUCCUAAAUAAAGGUAUGUCUUUGCAACCUUUAAACCAUACGAAUAUAGUAUUAAUUCCAAAACCGGCUCACCCGAAUAGCCCCAUAGAUUUUAGACACAUACUCUCCGGAACAAAAGAGUGAGGAAAAAAGGGUUCAUGGCCUUUAAGAUUGAUACGAGUAAGGCAUACAAUAGGGUAGAAUGGAGGUUUCUGAAACAAAUGAUGAUUAAGAUGGGUUUUGAUGAAGAAUGGGUUGCGAGAAUUAUGCAGUGUAUUAAUACGGUCACAUACUCGGUGAUUUUAAAUGGCGUCCCAAGAAUGGUAUUUAACCCUGAAAGAGGACUAUGACAAGGCGAUCCACUUAGCCCUUUGUUAUUUCUCAUAUGUAGCAAAGGACUUUCUACACUACUAAGGUUAGAAGCUGAGGAAGGAAGACUAAAAGGGAUCAAAGCAAGCAGACGAGGACCUCAAAUCUCUCGCUUGUUAUUUGCUGAUGAUUGCAUUCUAUUUGGGGAAGCAACAGAGCGGGGAAUUACAACAUUUGAACAAAUUCUAAAAGAGUACGAGGAAUGUUCCGGCCAAUGCAUUAAUUAUGGAAAAUCAACGAUGUUUUUUAGCUCAAAUACUUUAGAGACAGUUCGAGCGAAUAUAUCAAACCGACUGGGAGCUAAAAGGUCCAAUAACUGUGAAAACUACUUGGGUUUACCAAAUAUGGUGGGCCAAAGAAAACGUGGGGCUUUUCAAUAUCUAAAAGACCGUAUAAAGAUGAGAAUAGACAAUUGGAGUACUCGUUUGUUAUCACAAAGAGGGAAAGAGGUGUUCAUUAAAGCUAUUUUACAAGCAAUUCCCACAUACACAAUGUCCUGCUUCUUACUACCGAUGACUACGUGCUACGAAAUGGAACAAUUAAUGGCAAACUUCUGGUGGAAAAAGGGGAAAGGUAAACGCGGAAUUCAUUGGUGUUCUUGGCACAAAUUAUGUGAAUUAAAAGAUGAGGGUGGACUUGGUUAUCGUAAUUUAGAGAAAUUCAAUUUGGCCCUCCUUAUAAAACAAGGGUGAAGAUUAAUUGAUAAUCCGAUGUCCCUUUUGGCAAGAACAUUAAAAGCAAAGUACUAUCAAAACUCUGAUUUCUUAAGGUCAGAGUUAGGAAACUCACCAUCAUAUACUUGGAAAAUUUUAUGGGCAGCCAAAGGGCUACUGCUCUCAGGUCUAAGCUGGAGGCUUGGUGAUGGAAGUAACAUCAAAAUUGAAGAAGAUGCUUGGGUUCCGAAUGCUAAUGGUUUGCUGGUUCAGAAAAUAGGCAAUAGGCAAGAUGUUACUAAAGUUUCAGAACUUAUCGAGUAUAGAAAUAGAACAUGGAAGUCGAAGCUGAUUCAUACUACCUUUUCGGAAGAGGUUGCACAACAGAUUUUAUUAAUCCCAUUGGCCCGUUCUCCUCACGACGACUUUCUUUGUUGGAGAGGCAAGGCAUCCGACGAAUAUAAGGCACGCAGUGGGUACAAAAUUCUCUUACAAAGUAAUGGAAAUUACAACCAAAGUGCGAAUAAUAACUUUUACAAGAAAAUCUGGACAAGUGACCUCCCUUUAAAAAUUAGAAUUACAGCUUGGAGAUCCACUCUUAAUUAUCUUCCUACCCUAGAAAACUUAAAAACAAAGCGAGUAACUAAUAACGACAUUUGCCAGAGGUGCAUGCAAGGCCAGGAAAAUAGAGACCAUCUUUUUCGCGAUUGUGCUGUCAGCAAAGAAACAUGGGCAGAAUUAGAGUUUGCAUGGCCCCAGAACAUUUUACAAUCCGAAUAUAUGGAAUGGUUUACCGGGACGGUGUUAAACAGUAAAACAGAAGUAGUCCAAAUUUUUAUCUGCGCCAUAUGGGCUAUCUGGUCAGCUAGGAAUAAAUGGGUCCACGAAAGUCAGAAGCGGUCUGGAGCAGAAACAGCAAAUUUCAUCUAGAAGUACAUACAAGAACUAAAAGAUAUUGAAAGAAAGGAACUCACCUCGGAUCGGAAUUUCAAGGCAUGGAGGCCUCCGCCACAAGGUUUCUUCGAGAUCAACUUCGAUGCUGCUUUCGAUAAAAAGGAGAAAAAGUCAUGUUCAGGAAUAAUAGUCAGGAACCCCAAAGGAGCAGUUACAGUAUCAAAAGAACAAAUACAUACCAACAUUUCCUCUAGUUUUGCAGCUGAAGCCAUUGCAUGUUUACAGGCAGUUAAUAUAGGCAGAGAACUAGGCUUAACUCAUGUAAUCAUUGAAGGCGACUCUUUGACAGUGAUAAAGAAGAUAUAGAAUCAAAACAAAGACAGGUCGGAAAUAGGGCCUUUCAUUUUUUACAUAAAAGAACGAAGAACAAUGUUUCUUGAAUGUUAGUUCCAACAUGUAAAGAGAACAGAAAAUGCAGAAGCACAUAACCUGGCACCAGAGGCUCUGAAAAUGGACAGGCAUACAGAUGCUAACCACAGGCAUGCAACGACAACUCUAAUCGGGGCUGGCAACAACACAUCUAAAAAUGGACAGGUUGUUACUGAAGCAGAAGUUGAUCGGGGCUGGAAACGACAUCUCCAAUCGGCUAUGAGUCAUCAUCAAAGAGUUUUUACUGAAGUUAAAGUAACAGAGAACAAGUUUCAGGAGAGGACGGAAGGAUAUGAAAUGGAAAAGGAAAGAACAAAAGUAAAUCAAAAGUCAUGAGGCAACAAAUUUCCUCGAAAUUCUGGGACGUCUCCAAAAUGAAAAGACAGAUGAAAGGAUGAGACACACACAGAACUCUCUGAUUGGGUGAAAGGGCUGGCAUUUGUUUAGCUUCUAGAAUAUUCUUUUAUUAGUGGAGUUUGGGCC